CUCAAAGGAAUUGACGGGGACCCGCACAAGCAGCGGAGCGUGUGGUUUAAUUCGUUGCUACACGAAGAACCUUACCUGGGUUUGACAUAUAGGUUGUAGGGAACUGAAAAGGGACCGACCCUUCGGGGAGCCUAUACAGGUGUUGCAUGGCUGUCGUCAGCUCGUGUCGUGAGAUGUUCGGUUAAGUCCGCUAACGAGCGCAACCCUCGUCGUAUGUUAUAUGUGUCAUACGAGACUGCCGGUAAAAGCCGGAGGAAGGUGAGGAUGAUGUCAAGUCAGCAUGACCUUUAUAUCCAGGGCUACACACACGCUACAAUGGUCUGUACAAUGGGUAGCCAAGCCGCGAGGCGGAGCCAAUCCUGAAAGCAGGCCUCAGUUCAGAUUGCAGUCUGCAACUCGACUGCAUGAAGCCGGAGUUGCUAGUAACCGCAGGUCAGCAAUACUGCGGUGAAUACGUUCCCGGGUCUU
This 468-nucleotide ribosomal RNA is filed under the name uncultured Anaerolineaceae bacterium. Its description in RNAcentral is "bacterial SSU rRNA". It matches the Rfam family "Bacterial small subunit ribosomal RNA", at positions 900 to 1382 of the family's 1533-position model. Lineage: Bacteria; Bacillati; Chloroflexota; Anaerolineae; Anaerolineales; Anaerolineaceae. The record is from RNAcentral.